UUCCGUCUCCUUUCCACUUCAAGCCGGCUCGACAAGAUGAAAGACGAUGUUCACGUACGCAAUAUAAUAGAGGAAGUACAACUCUGGCAGGAACAAGAACUGGGUGUUGCUAGUUGCUUUUUUAAUCUUCUGCCGUCUUCACACAUCAGGUCGACAUUAAUGACAUCUUGAAUCGACCAAGAGUGAUUCGAUACAUAAGCGGAGGAAGUGCCAAUGUGUUGCGUUGUGCCAAGCGAAAUAAUCUUAAUGU
Molecule: long non-coding RNA, 250 nt
Organism: Pseudomyrmex gracilis
Lineage: Eukaryota; Metazoa; Arthropoda; Insecta; Hymenoptera; Formicidae
Exons: 3
Source: RefSeq, a predicted model, not a curated record